AGUGAACGCUGGCGGUAGGCCUAACACAUGCAAGUCGAACGGCAGCACAGUAAGAGCUUGCUCUUACGGGUGGCGAGUGGCGGACGGGUGGGGAAUACAUCGGAAUCUACUUUUUCGUGGGGGAUAACGUAGGGAAACUUACGCUAAUACCGCAUACGUCCUACGGGUGAAAGCAGGGGUUCUUCGGACCUUGCGCGAUUGAAUGAGCCGAUGUCGGAUUAGCUAGUUGGCGGGGUAAAGGCCCACCAAGGCGACGAUCCGUAGCUGGUCUGAGAGGAUGAUCAGCCACACUGGAACUGAGACACGGUCCAGACUCCUACGGGAGGCAGCAGUGGGGAAUAUUGGACAAUGGGCGCAAGCCUGAUCCAGCAAUACCGCGUGGGUGAAGAAGGCCUUCGGGUUGUAAAGCCCUUUUGUUGGGAAAGAAAAGCAGCAGGUUAAUACCCCGCUGUUCUGACGGUACCCAAAGAAUAAGCACCGGCUAACUUCGUG
RNAcentral lists this ribosomal RNA (492 nucleotides) under uncultured bacterium. RNAcentral's name for it is "partial 16S ribosomal RNA". It matches the Rfam family "Bacterial small subunit ribosomal RNA", at positions 29 to 507 of the family's 1533-position model. The record is from RNAcentral.